UAACAAGGAUUCCCCUAGUAACUGCGAGUGAAGCGGGAAGAGCUCAAAUUUGGAAUCUGGCGGUCUUCGGCCGUCCGAGUUGUAAUCUGGAGAAGCGUUUUCCGCGCUGGACCGUGCACAAGUCUCCUGGAACGGAGCGUCAUAGAGGGUGAGAAUCCCGUCCAUGGCACGGACGCCCAGUGCUUUGUGAUACGCUCUCGAAGAGUCGAGUUGUUUGGGAAUGCAGCUCAAAAUGGGUGGUAAAUUCCAUCUAAAGCUAAAUAUUGGCGAGAGACCGAUAGCGAACAAGUACCGUGAGGGAAAGAUGAAAAGCACUUUGGAAAGAGAGUUAAACAGUACGUGAAAUUGUUGAAAGGGAAACGCUUGAAGUCAGUCGCGUCCGGCAGAACUCAGCCUUGCCUCGGCCUGGUGUACUUUCUGUCGGACGGGUCAACAUCAGUUUGGACCGGUGGAAAAAGGCAAGGGGAAUGUAGCGCCGCUUCGGCGGCGUGUUAUAGCCCCUCGUCGUAUACAUCGGUACGGACUGAGGACCGCAGCACGCCCUUGUGGCCGGGGGUUCGCCCCACGUACCGUGCUUAGGAUGUUGGCAUAAUGGCUUUAAGCGACCCGUCUUGAAACACGGACCAAGGAGUCCAACAUGCUUGCGAGUGUUCGGGUGGAAAACCCUUGCGCGUAAUGAAAGUGACAGUUGGGAGCCUCCGCAAGGGGGUGCACCGACGCCCGGCCCUGACGUUCUCUGACGGUGCUGCGGUAGAGCAAGUAUGCUGGGACCCGAAAGAUGGUGAACUAUGCCUGAAUAGGGCGAAGCCAGAGGAAACUCUGGUGGAGGCUCGUAGCGAUUCUGACGUGCAAAUCGAUCGUCAAAUUUGGG
RNAcentral lists this ribosomal RNA (871 nucleotides) under Phellinus bicuspidatus. Its description in RNAcentral is "eukaryotic LSU rRNA". It matches the Rfam family "Eukaryotic large subunit ribosomal RNA", at positions 66 to 915 of the family's 3401-position model. The record is from RNAcentral. Lineage: Eukaryota; Fungi; Basidiomycota; Agaricomycetes; Hymenochaetales; Hymenochaetaceae.